AGCUGCGUGGCGCAGCGGAAGCGCGCCGGGCUCAUAACCCGGAGGACGAAAGAUCGAAACUUUCCGCAGCUA
This 72-nucleotide transfer RNA is filed under the name Clohesyomyces aquaticus. It matches the Rfam family "tRNA". Rfam says of the family: Transfer RNA (tRNA) molecules are approximately 80 nucleotides in length. Their secondary structure includes four short double-helical elements and three loops (D, anti-codon, and T loops). Lineage: Eukaryota; Fungi; Ascomycota; Dothideomycetes; Pleosporales; Lindgomycetaceae. The record is from Rfam by way of RNAcentral.